CUGGACAAUUUGAAAUACCCAUUUUACCCUUUUAGUUUUAAAUCUAAUAUAUGCCCUAAUCUCUCUCUUUACCCACACGUUUCAAUCACCGCCGUUUCUCCCUCUGUCUUCAUCUCCCCCUCUUUCUUACUCUCUCGCCAGAUCUGGCUCAUCUCCCCCUCUUUCUUCCUCUUUCUUACUCUCUCUCGCCAGAUCUGGCUCCGACAAUGAAGAGAAAGAAAAAGCGCAAGCCAAAUUCUCCACCAUCCGCUACGCAGCCGCACCGCCGUCGAAAAGGUCUUGGUGUUUGUUUGAAUUACAGUAAGUUUUUGCGGAGUGGACUUUGUGUUCGUCGUUCAAAAUAAGUUGUACUCGUGUUGAAAAGUGGAAUUUCAGUCAAAUUUAGUCGUAUAGAUAACGAUAUAUAACUAUAGAUGACUAUAGUCAUGUAUAGUUCCAUAUGGUAAUUUAUACUUAUAUACAAGUUAUACGGUUUUUCUUUUCUGAUGUAUAGUGAUCUUGAUGAUUGUGUUUUUUUUGUUGGGUACU
Molecule: non-coding RNA, 528 nt
Organism: Erythranthe guttata (spotted monkey flower)
Lineage: Eukaryota; Viridiplantae; Streptophyta; Magnoliopsida; Lamiales; Phrymaceae
Source: RefSeq, a predicted model, not a curated record